Molecule: ribosomal RNA, 500 nt
Filed under: uncultured bacterium
Lineage: Bacteria
Description: bacterial SSU rRNA
Rfam family: Bacterial small subunit ribosomal RNA
Source: RNAcentral
GACGAACGCUGGCGGCGUGCCUAAUACAUGCAAGUCGAGCGGAAUGAUGAAGAAGCUUGCUUCUUCUGAUUUUAGCGGCGGACGGGUGAGUAACACGUGGGCAACCUACCUUGUAGAUUGGGAUAACUCCGGGAAACCGGGGCUAAUACCGAAUAAUCCAUUUUGCUUCAUGGCGAGAUGUUGAAAGACGGUUUCGGCUGUCACUAUAAGAUGGGCCCGCGGCGCAUUAGCUAGUUGGUAGGGUAAUGGCCUACCAAGGCGACGAUGCGUAGCCGACCUGAGAGGGUGAUCGGCCACACUGGGACUGAGACACGGCCCAGACUCCUACGGGAGGCAGCAGUAGGGAAUCUUCCACAAUGGACGAAAGUCUGAUGGAGCAACGCCGCGUGAGUGAAGAAGGUUUUCGGAUCGUAAAACUCUGUUGUAAGGGAAGAACACGUACGAGAGUAACUGCUUGUACCUUGACGGUACCUUAUUAGAAAGCCACGGCUAACUACGUG